This 282-nucleotide ribosomal RNA is filed under the name Triticum aestivum (bread wheat). RNAcentral describes it as "partial small subunit ribosomal RNA". The record is from RNAcentral. Lineage: Eukaryota; Viridiplantae; Streptophyta; Magnoliopsida; Poales; Poaceae.
AUGGGCUCGGAGGGGCCGGGGCAUGGGUUCGGAUCCGGGGCGGCGGAGGAGAGGGACAUCGACGAUCUCCCGCGGAACGACGCCAACUACACGGCGCUGACGCCGCUCUGGUUCCUCGAGCGGGCCGCCCUGGCCCAGCCGGACAGGGCGUCCGUCGUGCACGGCCCGGUCCGGUACACCUGGGCCGAGACCUACCGCCGGUGCCGCCGCCUCGCCUCUGCACUGGCGCGCCGAUCUGUCGGCCACGGCAGCACUGUAAAUUUCUCUCCCCUGCUUUCCUAA